GCGUCUGUAGCUCAGUUGGUUAGAGCACCACCUUGACAUGGUGGGGGUCGGUGGUUCGAGUCCACUCAGACGCA
RNAcentral lists this transfer RNA (74 nucleotides) under Vibrio proteolyticus NBRC 13287. It matches the Rfam family "tRNA". Rfam says of the family: Transfer RNA (tRNA) molecules are approximately 80 nucleotides in length. Their secondary structure includes four short double-helical elements and three loops (D, anti-codon, and T loops). Further hydrogen bonds mediate the characteristic L-shaped molecular structure. tRNAs have two regions of fundamental functional importance: the anti-codon, which is responsible for specific mRNA codon recognition, and the 3' end, to which the tRNAs corresponding amino acid is attached (by aminoacyl-tRNA synthetases). tRNAs cope with the degeneracy of the genetic code in two manners: having more than one tRNA (with a specific anti-codon) for a particular amino acid; and 'wobble' base-pairing, i.e. permitting non-standard base-pairing at the 3rd anti-codon position. The record is from Rfam by way of RNAcentral. Lineage: Bacteria; Pseudomonadati; Pseudomonadota; Gammaproteobacteria; Vibrionales; Vibrionaceae.